AAUCAACGCUGGCGGCGUGCCUCAGACAUGCAAGUCGAACGAUUAAAGCUCUCUUCGGAGAGUGUAUAGAGUGGCGCACGGGUGAGUAACACGUAAGUAAUCUACCUUUGAGUGGGAAUAACAGUCGGAAACGACUGCUAAUACCGCAUAAUGCAGCGGCACCGCAAGGUGACAGUUGUUAAAGGAGCAAUUCGCUUAAAGAGGAGCUUGCGGCAGA
RNAcentral lists this ribosomal RNA (217 nucleotides) under uncultured bacterium. Its description in RNAcentral is "partial 16S ribosomal RNA". It matches the Rfam family "Bacterial small subunit ribosomal RNA", at positions 32 to 240 of the family's 1533-position model. The record is from RNAcentral.